GUCCGUUUGAAGGUGUAAAUGGUCUGGCCUGCUCACUGAUAAAAUUAUUUAAGAGCCGCGGUAUAUUGACCGUGCAAAGGUAGCAUAAUCAUUAGGGGUUUAAUUGGAACCUAGUAUGAAUGGUCGGACAAAGGAAAAACUGUCUUUAUAGAUUAAAUCAAAAUUUACCUUUAAGUGAAAAGGCUUAAAUAAAUCAAAGGGACGAUAAGACCCUAUAAAGCUUUAUAGAUAAUCUAAAUUUGAUUAAAUUAAAGCUAUAAAGAUUAAGUAUGGAUAUUUUAUUUUGUUGGGGUGAUAUGAGUAUAAUUGUUAUUAACUGCUUAAGAAAAAAACUUAUGUAGAAGAGUCAAUACAUAAAUGAUCCUUUUUAAAGAUUAAAAGACUAAGUUACUUUAGGGAUAACAGCGUUAUUUCUUUUGAGAGUUCAUAUCGAAAAAGAAGAUUGCGACCUCGAUGUUGAAUUAAAAUAUCUAUAUAAUGCAGCCGUUAUAAAAGAGGGUCUGUUCGACCUUUAAAUUUUU
Molecule: ribosomal RNA, 521 nt
Filed under: Chlorodiella nigra
Lineage: Eukaryota; Metazoa; Arthropoda; Malacostraca; Decapoda; Xanthidae
Description: partial large subunit ribosomal RNA
Rfam family: Bacterial large subunit ribosomal RNA
Source: RNAcentral